RNAcentral lists this ribosomal RNA (495 nucleotides) under uncultured bacterium. RNAcentral describes it as "partial 16S ribosomal RNA". It matches the Rfam family "Bacterial small subunit ribosomal RNA", at positions 28 to 507 of the family's 1533-position model. The record is from RNAcentral.
GACGAACGCUGGCGGCGUGCCUAAUACAUGCAAGUAGAACGCUGAAGGAGGAGCUUGCUUCUCUGGAUGAGUUGCGAACGGGUGAGUAACGCGUAGGUAACCUGCCUGGUAGCGGGGGAUAACUAUUGGAAACGAUAGCUAAUACCGCAUAAUAGUAGAUGUCGCAUGACAUUUGCUUAAAAGGUGCAAUUGCAUCACUACCAGAUGGACCUGCGUUGUAUUAGCUAGUUGGUGAGGUAACGGCUCACCAAGGCAACGAUACAUAGCCGACCUGAGAGGGGGAUCGGCCACACUGGGACUGGGACACGGCCCAGACUCCUACGGGAGGCAGCAGUAGGGAAUCUUCGGCAAUGGACGGAAGUCUGACCGAGCAACGCCGCGUGAGUGAAGAAGGUUUUCGGAUCGUAAAGCUCUGUUGUAAGAGAAGAACGAGUGUGAGAGUGGAAAGUUCACACUGUGACGGUAUCUUACCAGAAAGGGACGGCUAACUACGUG